RNAcentral lists this ribosomal RNA (510 nucleotides) under uncultured bacterium. RNAcentral's name for it is "partial 16S ribosomal RNA". It matches the Rfam family "Bacterial small subunit ribosomal RNA", at positions 28 to 507 of the family's 1533-position model. The record is from RNAcentral.
GACGAACGCUGGCGGCGUGCUUAACACAUGCAAGUCGAACGAAGAGCGAUGGAAGCUUGCUUCUAUCAAUCUUAGUGGCGAACGGGUGAGUAACGCGUAAUCAACCUGCCCUUCAGAGGGGGACAACAGUUGGAAACGACUGCUAAUACCGCAUACGAUCUAAACUCGGCAUCGAGGAUAGAUGAAAGGUGGCCUCUACAUGUAAGCUAUCACUGAAGGAGGGGAUUGCGUCUGAUUAGCUAGUUGGAGGGGUAACGGCCCACCAAGGCGAUGAUCAGUAGCCGGUCGGAGAGGAUGAACGGCCACAUUGGGACUGAGACACGGCCCAGACUCCUACGGGAGGCAGCAGUGGGGAAUCUUCCGAAAUGGACGAAAGUCUGACGGAGCAACGCCGCGGGAGGGAUGACGGCCUUCGGGUUGUAAAGCUCGGUUAAUCGGGACGAAAGGCCUUCUUGCGAAGAGUGAGAAGGAUUGACGGUACCGGAAUAGAAAGCCACGGCUAACUACGUG